Long non-coding RNA from Vigna angularis (adzuki bean), 1535 nucleotides. RefSeq lists it as uncharacterized. Lineage: Eukaryota; Viridiplantae; Streptophyta; Magnoliopsida; Fabales; Fabaceae. The transcript has 6 exons. The record is from RefSeq and is a predicted model, not a curated record.
AAGAAAUUGGCUAAUUACCGGCGGCUUAAUACCGAAGGCCUUGAGGCCGUCUGUAAAAGAGAGGUGCCGACGGCCAUAAAGAGAAGUACCGACGGGCUUAGUGAAAUUAAACUACCGAAGGUCAGGAAGACGAUAGCGAGGGAUGUGUGUCCUUCGGUAAUAGGCUAGACCCAUUAAACCAAGUGAUUCGUUCUAUUCGUCGAGGUCGUCCCCAAUUUCCUGAAACUGUGAAAACCCCCCUGCCCUACCUCUCUCGUCUACGUCUGCCAUCGUUUUACUUCGUGCUUCCAUUCUCUCGGCUACCUCUCUCGUGGCUUCGUUUUCGUUUGUGCUUCCAUUAUCUCGUCUACCUUUGUCGUUUACCUCUGUCUAUCCGGUGGCAUUGUGCGCCUCUCCGUUUUGUUCGGUCUCAUCAAGGUUCUUGGUGCCGUUGUGGGUGGGGUAGCCACAGGGGUGGUGUUUCGUCAUCAUUACGCUUUGGCGCCAUAGGAGUGGUGGUUCGUGGCUGUGCGCGUGAGGCUUGUGUUCAGAGUUGGCGAUGUGCAGGGGCUUCCCUCGAAUUGGGUGUUCUGUAGUGCGAGAAGACGACACCUGGGAGGAGUCGAAGCAAUAAAAGAAAAUGAUAGGGAGAUUGGAACACGGGACAGUAAAGGAAAAGAGAAGUGCCUAUUAGCGCACCAGAUGAAAAAUCCCUUUGCCUUUACUCUAACAAGUUUUGGGGUUUCAAUUAGGAGCACAUAACGUUUGGAAGCUUCAAACGUAGUGGGUUAAAGUUAGUUGCAAAAGUGUCAUUGUUUAAGGGCUACACUCAAGUGUCGAAGACUUCAUCAUUUCCAGUCACACAAAAGGCUGUAAACAGAAGUAAAGUGGCUACCACGCUGGAAUUUUUGCUGCCAUGGUGGAAUUAAUCAAGUGGAUGAUGUUCUGAAGUGUUCACUCCUUUCACUAUCUCUUCUCCACAUGGAUUCAAGAUUCAUACACUCUUUCUUCACUUAUCAACUAUCUAGGUUUCAUUUGAGAAGAAAAAGAAAGAGUUAUUUGAGAUGGUUAGCAUUCCUGCGUGGUUUACUGGGGAUACUAGGCCUGAAAGCUUGUAGUUUAUUUGGACUCACCCCAGUGUUUUUCUGCAAAAAUGUAUUAUGCAGAUCUUAGCAUUGUCGGCAAGCCUGAAGAUAAUAAGGUAUCAAAAACAAAAAGGCUAAGGGUUUGAUGAAAAUGGGGUCGCUCCUUAUAUGGUUCCUAACCUUUGUCACCAUCCCUCAAGCAUUUGUCAUGGAGGAUGGAAAGUUUUUCUACAAGCAAUCAGGAGAACUCCUAACACCAUUGCAACAUAGGAGGUCAAUUUGAUUCAAACUAAGAGUUGCAUGACAAUGAUCAAGUACAAGAUAAAGAAUCCUUUAUUUUGCUUCAUUCUUAUUGUAAGUAUUAGUAUUAGAAACAUCCAGAAUUUAGUUAUUAAUAUGUUUGAGUACCUAGAUAUUUGAAUUUUAUAGUAUGUUAACUUUAUGCGUGAAAUUAUUGUUUUGAGUUUCUUG